This 425-nucleotide ribosomal RNA is filed under the name uncultured bacterium. RNAcentral's name for it is "bacterial SSU rRNA". It matches the Rfam family "Bacterial small subunit ribosomal RNA", at positions 356 to 773 of the family's 1533-position model. The record is from RNAcentral.
GGGGAAUAUUGCACAAUGGGGGAAACCCUGAUGCAGCCAUGCCGCGUGUGUGAAGAAGGCCUUCGGGUUGUAAAGCACUUUCAGCGAGGAGGAAAGGUGGCUAGCUAAUACCUAGUUGCUGUGACGUUACUCGCAGAAGAAGCACCGGCUAACUCCGUGCCAGCAGCCGCGGUAAUACGGAGGGUGCAAGCGUUAAUCGGAAUAACUGGGCGUAAAGCGCACGCAGGCGGUUAGAUAAGUCAGAUGUGAAAGCCCCGGGCUCAACCUGGGAACUGCAUUUGAAACUGUCUGACUAGAGUCUUGUAGAGGGGGGUAGAAUUCCAGGUGUAGCGGUGAAAUGCGUAGAGAUCUGGAGGAAUACCGGUGGCGAAGGCGGCCCCCUGGACAGAGACUGACGCUCAGGUGCGAAAGCGUGGGGAGCAAAC